CCUUUUCUUCUUAUUUCAGAGAAAGCAUGUACACCAUCUUAAGAAUUAUGGAGAACUGGCGGCAAUCACACUGAAGAGAAAACAUGCCCCUAAGACUCCCUCCACCAUCAAGCAGAGAACAUUACUGAAGACAGUGUCUCUAAAAUCCAUCGACAAAGCUGUGGUGAAGUAUGUGGUCCAAGGGCUCCAACCAUUCGCAGUUGUAGAACAAGAACCGUUCAGAGUUUGUCCAGGAUCUGCAGCCUAACUCAAAGAUCUUAUCAAGGCCCACACUGCGCUCCAGGAUUGAUGAAGCCUCUACGGAAAUGAAGAAGAAGGUGACUGAGGCCAUGAGAGGAGUUGACCACAUCGCCACCACCACCGACUGCUGGUUUGCAAGAAGACGGAGCUUCAUUGGUGUUACAGCCCACUGGAUAGACCCUGACAGUCUCAACAGAUGCUCUGCAGUCCUGGCCUGUAAACGGUUGAGAGGAUCGCACACCUUUGAUGUGUUGGCAGGCGUCCUAAAUUACAUCCAUUCUGAGUUUGAAAUCCGGGGUAAGAUUGUGAGAACAACAACAGACAACGGCUCUAACUUCUUGAAAGCUUUCCCAAGUUUUUGGAGAAGAUGAAAACAAUGAGGCAGUGUAAGCAGUGGGUGGUGAAGCAGCUCAGCCAGGACAGGAAGAUGGUGAAGAGGAACAAGAGGAGAGUGAAGAAGUGGAGUUUGUUGAUGUGGCAACAAUCCUGGCUGAGCUGAAUGAAGAUUAUGGUUUUGAGUACCAGCUGCCGAAGCACCAGCGCUGUGCUUGCCACCUACUCAACUUAGUAUCUACAGUCGAUGCCCUGAAAGCAACAUCCAGUGAGGCUUACAAAAAAGUGUCCAGUUCAACAUUUGGCAAGUGCCAAUGACUUUGGAACAAAUGUGGAAGAUCCACACUUGCAGCCGAAACGGUUGAAGAUGCUUGCGACCUCCAGCUGCUGCGCCCGAAUGCUACAAGGUGGAACUCCUGGUUCAUGGCUGUAGAAAGACUCCUGAGGAUCGUCAAAGACAAAGGAGAGGCGGCCGUCAGAGUUCUCUGCACAGAUUUCGAGGUUCCAAUGUUCAAUCCAGCUGAACUCGCCUUCCUCAGAGUAUGCUGCCACUAUGAGCCCAGUCGCAAAGGCCAUCAACAUCCUGCAGGCUGAAACCAAUGUCCAGAUGGGGUGGCUACUUCCAACUAUCAACCUGCUGAUCACAAAACUUGACCGAAUCAAGUUGUCCCUGAAGUACUGUAAGCCUCUGGUGGAUGCGCUACAACUGGGACUGACGAAGCGCUUCAGCCACGUUUCACGACCCUGAGCUGAUCGCAGCUGCAAUCCUUCUCCCCAAAUUCAAAACAACAUGGACAAAGGAUGACGCCAACAUCUGAAUGGGAAUGGACUACAUCAAGGACCACCUGGAAGAACCCUUGCUGCAGCUCGGUAAUGGCACCAGUUCAUCAGAUGAGGACUUCUUCUCUGGCAUGAAGACGUCUCAAGCACAAGAAAGCUCCAAACAGCUGGAUGGAUACCUGGCCUGUUCAGCUGAUCAUAUGGAGUUGCUCAAGUCCUUCCCGGCAGUCUGUAAUCUGUCUCUGAGGCUAAACACACCCUUACCUGUGAAAGGCUGUUCCGCAUUGCAGGACUUGUUUUCGGCCCCAGGAGAGCAAGGCUGGAUUCCAGAAACUUUGAAAACCAGCUUUUACUGAAGAUGAACCGUAAAUUCUUCAACUUCAAGUAAUGACAGCUUAACGCUAGCAAGCCCAAGGUCACGGAGGCCUUAUGCGUUUUGUUAAUUUAUGUUUAAAAUUCACAAGUUAUAGGUGUCCUUGUUACAAAGGCAUGACCUGACACACUGCUUUUCCACCGCUGCUUAAUAUAAGGAAUUUGAUGUAUAACAUUUACUUAAGUAUGAUGAUUGAGUAC
This is a long non-coding RNA of Coregonus clupeaformis (lake whitefish), 1926 nucleotides long. RefSeq lists it as uncharacterized. The record is from RefSeq and is a predicted model, not a curated record. Lineage: Eukaryota; Metazoa; Chordata; Actinopteri; Salmoniformes; Salmonidae. The transcript is spliced from 3 exons.